GAACGCUGGCGGCGUGCCUAAUACAUGCAAGUCGAGCGAACAGACGAGGAGCUUGCUCCUCUGACGUUAGCGGCGGACGGGUGAGUAGCACGUGGAUAACCUACCUAUAAGACUGGGAUAACUUCGGGAAACCGGAGCUAAUACCGGAUAAUAUAUUGAACCGCAUGGUUCAAUAGUGAAAGACGGUUUUGCUGUCACUUAUAGAUGGAUCCGCGCCGCAUUAGCUAGUUGGUAAGGUAACGGCUUACCAAGGCGACGAUGCGUAGCCGACCUGAGAGGGUGAUCGGCCACACUGGAACUGAGACACGGUCCAGACUCCUACGGGAGGCAGCAGUAGGGAAUCUUCCGCAAUGGGCGAAAGCCUGACGGAGCAACGCCGCGUGAGUGAUGAAGGUCUUCGGAUCGUAAAACUCUGUUAUUAGGGAAGAACAAAUGUGUAAGUAACUAUGCACGUCUUGACGGUACCUAAUCAGAAAGCCACGGCUAACUACGUG
RNAcentral lists this ribosomal RNA (494 nucleotides) under uncultured bacterium. RNAcentral describes it as "partial 16S ribosomal RNA". It matches the Rfam family "Bacterial small subunit ribosomal RNA", at positions 31 to 507 of the family's 1533-position model. The record is from RNAcentral.